CUCGUAGGCGGCUUGUCGCGUCUGCUGUGAAAUCCCAGGGCUUAACUCUGGGCGUGCAGUGGGUACGGGCAGGCUAGAGUGCGGUAGGGGUGAUUGGAAUUCCUGGUGUAGCGGUGGAAUGCGCAGAUAUCAGGAGGAACACCGAUGGCGAAGGCAGGUCACUGGGCCGUUACUGACGCUGAGGAGCGAAAGCAUGGGGAGCGAACA
Molecule: ribosomal RNA, 207 nt
Filed under: uncultured bacterium
Lineage: Bacteria
Description: partial 16S ribosomal RNA
Rfam family: Bacterial small subunit ribosomal RNA
Source: RNAcentral